GAUAAACGCUGAAAGCAUCUAAGUGUGAAACUCGCCUCGAGAUGAGAUUUCCCAUUUCCUUCGGGAAAGUAAGACCCCUCAGAGAUGAUGAGGUAGAUAGGAUGGAAGUGGAAGUGCCGUGAGGCAUGGAGCGGACCAUUACUAAUCGGUCGAGGACUUAACCAAG
This 166-nucleotide ribosomal RNA is filed under the name Limosilactobacillus reuteri. RNAcentral describes it as "Lactobacillus reuteri partial 23S ribosomal RNA". It matches the Rfam family "Bacterial large subunit ribosomal RNA", at positions 2763 to 2925 of the family's 2925-position model. Lineage: Bacteria; Bacillati; Bacillota; Bacilli; Lactobacillales; Lactobacillaceae. The record is from RNAcentral.